CCCUUAGAUGUUCUGGGCCGCACGCGCGCUACACUGAUGCAGUCAACAAGUUUAUUUCCUGAGCUGAAAAGUUUGGGUAAUCUUUUGAAACUGCAUCGUGCUGGGGCUUGACGAUUGCAAUUAUUUGUCACAAACGAGGAAUUCCUAGUAAACGCAAGUCAUCAUCUUGCAUUGAUUACGUCCCUGCCCUUUGUACACACCGCCCGUCGCUCCUACCGAUUGAGUGGUCCGGUGAGGCUUUGGGAUCUGAGCGGAAAGAGCGUUUCGCUGUUUCUGCUCGGAAAACUCAGUCGAACCUUAUCAUUUAGAGGAAGGAGAAGUCGUAACA
Molecule: ribosomal RNA, 328 nt
Filed under: uncultured eukaryote
Lineage: Eukaryota
Description: partial 18S ribosomal RNA
Rfam family: Eukaryotic small subunit ribosomal RNA
Source: RNAcentral